Long non-coding RNA from Quercus lobata, 732 nucleotides. RefSeq lists it as uncharacterized. The transcript has 3 exons. NCBI's taxonomy places the organism in Eukaryota, Viridiplantae, Streptophyta, Magnoliopsida, Fagales, Fagaceae. The record is from RefSeq and is a predicted model, not a curated record.
AUCUUUCAUCUUUCUCUUCUGUCAGUUUAAAAAACCUUCUUACCCUUUCAUUCUUUGUUGAAAUUCAGAUUCGCUGAGUUUUUCCUGUCAAGUACUAAUAAUUCAUAAAUAUGCCAAAUUUUCGAGGGCCUCAUUUACAUUGUUGCUUCUCAGUAAUUUUGUAUUUUCAAUGACUUUUUUUCCCUCACGUGCUAAUGUAGAUCUAUCAUCUCUGCUCUGGCUUAUAAGACAGUUGGUAUCUAUUCAAGAAGAGCUACUUGAUUAAAUAUAAAGAUGUUGAAAUUAGAUGAGAAUACUUUACCAAAAGAGAUUCAAAAAAUAAUUGGCAAUGAAUAUUUGUUCCAACUGCAUCUUGAUGAAUAUAAUUUGAAGUAUGGAAAAGAAAAUUACACGGUCUCAAAAAUUUGGGAGAUGGAAGUUUUACAUAAGCAAAAAGACUCAAGUAAAGUUGAAGAACAUCAGGAAACAAUGGAGGAAAUUGUAAGAAAAUCAAGGAAGGACAAGUACACAGCCAAUCAAAAAAUAGAAAUAGGAGAAACAUCUGUUCAAAGACCUGAAAGAAUGCCGCUUCAAAUGCUUCAAAAACGUCAAAAAAGUACUAAGCAAAUUGCUACAAAGAAGAAAAAAAACUGAACUCUAUUGUAUAUACUACCUUACUCUAGGAAUCUUUACGUAUUUCAUAGUAUUGUUAAUUUUUAUUUUUUUGCCUUUAGAAGAGUAAAUUGAAUGUAC